CGAAAGCCUGACGGAGCAACGCCGCGUGAGGGAUGAAGGCCUCUGGGCUGUAAACCUCUUUUCUCAAGGAAGAAGAUCUGACGGUACUUGAGGAAUAAGCCACGGCUAAUUCCGUGCCAGCAGCCGCGGUAAUACGGGAGUGGCAAGCGUUAUCCGGAAUUAUUGGGCGUAAAGCGUCCGCAGGCGGCCUUGUAAGUCUGCCGUUAAAGCGUGGAGCUCAACUCCAUUUCAGCGGUGGAAACUACAAGGCUUGAGUGUGGUAGGGGCAGAGGGAAUUCCCGGUGUAGCGGUGAAAUGCGUAGAUAUCGGGAAGAACACCAGUGGCGAAAGCGCUCUGCUGGGCCAUAACUGACGCUCAUGGACGAAAGCCAGGGGAGCG
RNAcentral lists this ribosomal RNA (379 nucleotides) under uncultured cyanobacterium. RNAcentral describes it as "bacterial SSU rRNA". It matches the Rfam family "Bacterial small subunit ribosomal RNA", at positions 376 to 770 of the family's 1533-position model. The record is from RNAcentral. Lineage: Bacteria; Bacillati; Cyanobacteriota.